This 301-nucleotide ribosomal RNA is filed under the name uncultured bacterium. RNAcentral's name for it is "partial 16S ribosomal RNA". It matches the Rfam family "Bacterial small subunit ribosomal RNA", at positions 509 to 807 of the family's 1533-position model. The record is from RNAcentral.
CAGCAGCCGCGGUAAUACGUAGGUGGCAAGCGUUGUCCGGAAUUAUUGGGCGUAAAGGGCUCGCAGGCGGUUUCUUAAGUCUGAUGUGAAAGCCCCCGGCUCAACCGGGGAGGGUCACUGGAAACUGGGAAACUUGAGUGCAGAAGAGGAGAGUGGAAUUCCACGUGUAGCGGUGAAAUGCGUAGAGAUGUGGAGGAACACCAGUGGCGAGGGCGACUCUCUGGUCUGUAACUGACGCUGAGGAGCGAAAGCGUGGGGAGCGAACAGGAUUAGAUACCCCUGUAGUCCCUGUCUCUUAUAC